AUACGUAGGUGGCAAGCGUUGUCCGGAAUUAUUGGGCGUAAAGCGCGCGCAGGUGGUUCCUUAAGUCUGAUGUGAAAGCCCCCGGCUCAACCGGGGAGGGUCAUUGGAAACUGGGGAACUUGAGUGCAGAAGAGGAUAGUGGAAUUCCAAGUGUAGCGGUGAAAUGCGUAGAGAUUUGGAGGAACACCAGUGGCGAAGGCGACUGUCUGGUCGUUAACUGACACUGAGGCGCGAAAGCGUGGGGAGCAAACAGGAUUAGAUACCCUGGUAGUCCACGCCGUAAACGAUGAGUGCUAAGUGUUGGGGGGUUUCCGCCCCUCAGUGCUGCAGCUAACGCAUUAAGCACUCCGCCUGGGGAGUACGGUCGCAAGACUGAAACUCAAAUGAAUUGACGGGG
Molecule: ribosomal RNA, 397 nt
Filed under: uncultured bacterium
Lineage: Bacteria
Description: partial 16S ribosomal RNA
Rfam family: Bacterial small subunit ribosomal RNA
Source: RNAcentral